Molecule: ribosomal RNA, 379 nt
Filed under: marine Metazoa environmental sample
Lineage: Eukaryota; Metazoa
Description: SSU rRNA
Rfam family: Eukaryotic small subunit ribosomal RNA
Source: RNAcentral
AGCUCCAAUAGCGUAUAUUAAAGUUGUUGCAGUUAAAAAGCUCGUAGUUGGAUUUCGGAGUGGGCCCGUUGGUCCGCCGCAAGGUGUGUUACUGACUGGUCUGCUCUUCUUCGCAAAGACUGCGUGUGCUCUUUGUUGAGUGUGCGUAGGAUUUACGACGUUUACUUUGAAAAAAUUAGAGUGUUCAAAGCAGGCUAUUGCUUGAAUACAUGAGCAUGGAAUAAUGGAAUAGGACUUUGGUCCCAUUUUGUUGGUUUCUAGGACCGAAGUAAUGAUUAAUAGGGAUAGUUGGGGGCAUUCGUAUUUAAUUGUCAGAGGUGAAAUUCUUGGAUUUGUUAAAGACGGACUACUGUGAAAGCAUUUGCCAAGGAUGUUUUCA